CGUUCUCCAUUCUCUGUUUCAUUUUUCUCUCUUCCUCCUCUUCUUCUUUGAUUCUUCUCCUUCAUCGUCAGUUCCUCCUCUUUUUUUUUUCUUCCCUUCUUCCGUUCGUUUCUUCUUCCUGUUCCUAAUCUAAGUUGGAGAUGGAGGUUAUAAAGUUCAUGUACUCACCAAGGCAGAGGAUGUCAUUGUACCUGGUGGCUCCAAACUUCAGGGGAGUCAUGGCGGUGGAGGCAACGCCAGCGGUGGUCGUAGGGUUACGGCGGUGGAUGAGGUGCCGAUUGCUGUGGUGGUGGACGAUGGUAUGACGUGGUGGUCGCAGUGGGUGUGGUGGAGUUCGUGGUAACUAUCCAUGUGUGGUGAUGGAUACAGAGGAGGAAGCAGCGGAAGAAAGCAUAUAGUUGGAAAGUACUAAGUGGCGUUCAUAGAGAGCACAUGCAGUGAGACUAUGAAAGCCGAAAGCACAGCAGAACAGAGCCGUGAGAUCUAAUCGGCGUUCAUGGUUGAAUGGUUGAUCUAAGUAGAGCAAGGCACCUUUGCUUGAGAUAGUUUCCGAGUCUGAUAUAAAAACGGGUAUUGAAGCAGCAGAGCAUGCAGCAGAAAUACAGAGAUUGGUUCGGUAUUUGGGAGUGAGCAAUGGCAAUAUGCCAAUAUGUUCACCCCAUUAUGUACAAGCACAAAUAUAGUGGAGGUCAUGGUUCUCAGUGAAUUUUGACAGCAAAGCUGCAAAGGCUUCUCGAUAGUGCAAUAUGAAGACAAGAUCCAUGGGUAUGAAGAAUUCUACUAAGAAAACUAUUAGAAGGAAUCACAAAUAAGUGGACUAUGAAGUUCUCAAAAAACUUGCUUGUGUGACUGAUAAAUCUGAUAGGAGAGCCCCUGAGCAAUUACCAUGUGAAGUUGGUGACAGUGUCAUUGCAAUGUUAGAUGAUCUUAAUCAUAGGAAAGGGCUCUUCCUCUCUGGUGUGUGUUAUUAUCCAUGGCUAUUAACAAGUUUUAGGGUCAAACAUAUGGAACUAUACUUGCCCAAGCAUGUUUUUACACACAAGUUAGACCUUGUAAGGAAUGCCCCUGCCAGGGUUUCGUUAGUUUUCUUGCUCUUUGCGGCAUCCACAACUACAUUAGGGCAAUCAGUGACGGGUUUUGAGUGACUGGAAGGGUAAAGUUGAGGGUUUCUUCAUUGGUCUACCUUUUGGUCUGCAUUACGUUUUCAAGCGUGAAUGGAUUUUGGAGUUUUCCAUUGUUCAGGGACAUGGAUUGAAGACCAAAUGCAUUAGAUGAAUCUGAAAUUUUUACAAGGGUAUACUGUAUUUGAAGCUUGCUAAUGAGGAAUUUGUUUGCCAUUGGGUAAGGGAUGCAAGAAGUUAAGGAAUCUAAUACUAAGUCGCAAGGGUUUGGAAGCAAUUGCUACCGGAUGCAAGGAACUUACAUAUCUUGAAGUCAAUGGAUGUC
Molecule: long non-coding RNA, 1446 nt
Organism: Arachis stenosperma
Lineage: Eukaryota; Viridiplantae; Streptophyta; Magnoliopsida; Fabales; Fabaceae
Exons: 8
Source: RefSeq, a predicted model, not a curated record